Molecule: unclassified non-coding RNA, 422 nt
Filed under: soil metagenome
Description: partial contains 5.8S ribosomal RNA, internal transcribed spacer 2, and large subunit ribosomal RNA
Rfam family: 5.8S ribosomal RNA (bases 1-120)
Source: RNAcentral
GAUGAAGAACGCAGCGAAAUGCGAUACGUAAUGUGAAUUGCAGAAUUCAGUGAAUCAUCGAAUCUUUGAACGCAUAUUGCGCCUUCUGGUAUUCCGGAGGGCAUGCUUGUUUGAGUAUCAGUAACAACCUCAACUCUUCUUCAUUGCGGAGAAAGAGUUGGAUUUGAGCAUUUCCACAAGUUCGUCUUGGAGGAUUGCUUGAAAUAUGAGGUUCGGCCGGCAGUUGCCUGGGCUACAAGCAUUUCAUACUUAAUCCCGUCAAACGGAUUAUAUCCUUUGCUGCAGCCAAGAUACAGGGUAACUUUGCCAGUGUUCCGACUGAUGCAGGAAAGUUGAGAACAGCUUUUUGCUUUCUCUUCUAAACUCGAUCUCAAAUCAAGUAAGACUACCCGCUGAACUUAAGCAUAUCAAUAAGCGGAGGA